Molecule: long non-coding RNA, 2415 nt
Filed under: Nicotiana benthamiana
Lineage: Eukaryota; Viridiplantae; Streptophyta; Magnoliopsida; Solanales; Solanaceae
Description: long non-coding RNA (NBEN_LNC041969)
Source: RNAcentral
CCACUUCCGAAAUCCAGAUUUCAAAGCCUUCUCUUUAUCUAGGGUGUUUCAAAGUUCCAAGGAAUUUCAGGAAUUCCUGACAUUGCUUACACCAAAUAUACCCAUUAGAAUUAGAAACAAUGCAGUGUGGAAAGGCCAACUCUCAAGCAUCCAAGUUCAGAUAGAGCUCAGGGGUCCCAAGGCAAGGAUUGCAAGAGAUAGGCAGAACCUAAUUGCUAAGAAUAAGUGUAGGUGAAAGGGAUUGGGGGAAACCAUGGUAGAUUGGUGGUCAUACCCAGCCAUAAGGAAGGAUAGCACACCCUUGACGAAUCUAUUUGGUCAAACAAAUAAGAGCAAACCUAUUGAAGGUCGGACUAUGGUCUGGACAGUGAUUAAGACACUGCCAGACCAAGGUCUUAGGCUCAAAGCACACAUAAGGGAAAAAGGAAUGUGAUUUGAUAGUGUUUAGGACUCAAAGAGUCCAGUUCAUAUGCAUGAUCAACAACAACAAAUGUUGUCAUACUUUCUUAACCAUAGCUCACAUAUAAAGGGGUUGAAGGAGAGGGAAUUCAGGCAAGACCAAAUUUGCAGAGAAAGCAGUAGAGUAGACAUUCAAAGAACUGAAGCAUAAUCAUAAAAAUAUUAAAAGGGUAAACACAUAAGGAAAAGGGCAGUAUUAAACUAAAGAGACAUACCAAAUGCAAAAGGUAAACACAGAGAGAAGCAGAACACUUACAGCAGCAGGUAAACAAAGAAAACUAAAUAGGACUUCAGCAGAAGGCUUGAAAGAGCAUUGCAGAAAACUUAGAAGUAUUUGAGAAAGAGAAGUAGUAAGUGUAGUGUGUUCCUUAGAACUUGUCUGUGUGUUUGAAAGAGGAGAUGGGGAGAGGUAUUUAUAGCAUUUGAAAACGAGUAAAUAGUAAGGCAAACAAUAUAUUUUUAACAAGAAUAAGUAAAUAAUCACAAGUUAGAAUCAAUUAACCCAAGUGACUGCCCUUUAAUUAAGGAAUCAGUGUCUAAUGGAUAAAGUUUAAUUAAGGAAACAAAAUCAAUUCAAGGACAGACUGAUCGUUGUCAUACAAAGGGUAGUGAAAGCAUGGAGUAGGCAAUCAAGUCUAAGUACAUAAUAUGCUUAUUUUUGGGAAAGACUAAAUAAGGUAAACAUAUAAUAGUAAAGGGGAAAAAUCAAUUGACUUUACACAUCGAGUGAAAUCAGGGCUUGUGAGAAAACUUUUGAAACCAGUCACAGAAUCAAGAUCAAUCAUGAUUCUGCACUUCAGCAUAUAAAUAGAGUGAAUAGAAACAUCAGUCAUGCAAGGCCAAGCAUAUUGGCAAGACAAAUGCCAUACAGUAGUUGUAGAAGUAAGCAUAGGAUUCAGUAGAUAGACAGGAUUUACACAUAUAGUCAAAGUGAGGAAGAGAUUCAGAACAAGUAAAGGUCUCACAGUAAUAAGUGAGGAAAAACCCUUAUGAGAGAUUAGGGUUUCAUCGAUGGUCGAGUUGAAUGAUAGUAAAACUUAGAAUUAGACGAGUUACAUAAAGAAAAGAGAGCCUGAUGUAAGGAAUCAACUUUAAACAGACAAGAUUCACAAACAAAUUCAAAGAAUUCGAAUAGUCCCCAAAGCAACUAGGGUUUUUAAAAAAUCAGUUAAGUCUAGAGAUGGUAACAGGCGAAUCAAGCAACUCAGAGUUCCAAGUAAAAACCCUCUUAAGAUUAGGGUUUCAACUAUUAAUCAGUAGGCAAAAUAGCCAGGCUCAGGAACUCAAAUAGAUCCCCAAAAUUCAGGGCUUUUAAACAGCAGAUAAACUCAGAGAAGAUAGGCAUGUAAAUCGAACGAAAUCACGACGAACCGACUUAUACAAAAUUCACGAAAAAUUAGGGGUUUUAAUCAUACUUACACAGGUAAAGGAAGUAACACAAGUAAAGCACAGAAACAUACUGAGAAAGAGAAAGGAAAUUAGAAAAUCACUUAACACAAAACCCUAGUUAAAGGGACAGAGAGUUCUUAAAACAAAAAAAUUGGGGAAACUUUGAGACACAUGCUUAGAAAACUCGAACACACAUAGAUCUAGGGGAGAUACAAAAUAAAACAAAAGAACCUCAGAUUUAGGGCUUCCAAGAACCCACAGAAGGUGAGAAAGGCAUUGAAAACUCCCGAUCUAAAUAGGAUAGUCACAACUCUGACUCGAACGGCCAUGGCUGGCCAGAGAAAGGUCAAGGAUGACCGGAGUAGAACCAUCGAGCAAAAUCUUGGUCAAGAUACCUCUAGAGUCUAUUCAUGGGACCUUAGAGAUGAGUACGUAGAGGCCAUAGGAGGCCAAUAUAAGGCUUAGUUAAGGCUGGGAAGCCAUAGAUUAGGGUUUCAUGUGAAGCGACGACUAGGGUUUGAGAGCUGGGUUGAGAGAGAAUGAGAGAGACAAGAGAUUCAUGGGCGG